Molecule: ribosomal RNA, 338 nt
Filed under: uncultured Actinomycetales bacterium
Lineage: Bacteria; Bacillati; Actinomycetota; Actinomycetes; Actinomycetales
Description: bacterial SSU rRNA
Rfam family: Bacterial small subunit ribosomal RNA
Source: RNAcentral
UGGCUCAGAACGAACGCUGGCUCCGCGCUUAAUACAUGCAAGUCGAGCGAGAACCAGGGCUUCGGCCCUGGGGACAGCGCCGAACGGGUGAGUAACACGUGAGCAACCUACCCUUGGCUUUGGGAUAACCCGCGGAAACGUGGACUAAUACCGGAUAUUCACUUCCUGCCGCAUGGUGGGGGGUGGAAAGUUUUUCGGCUGGGGAUGGGCUCGCGGCCUAUCAGCUUGUUGGUGGGGUGAUGGCCUACCAAGGCGACGACGGGUAGCCGGCCUGAGAGGGCGACCGGCCACACUGGGACUGAGACACGGCCCAGACUCCUACGGGAGGCAGCAGUGGG